Molecule: ribosomal RNA, 367 nt
Filed under: uncultured organism
Description: bacterial LSU rRNA
Rfam family: Bacterial large subunit ribosomal RNA
Source: RNAcentral
CUUUACUGCAGCUUUGCAGUGGCAUUAGGAGAGGGCUGUGUAGGAUAGGUGGGAGGCUUUGAAGCCUGGGCGCUAGCUUGGGUGGAGCCAACCUUGAAAUACCACCCUGACCUCUUCUGAUGUCUAACCGCGAUCGGUCAUCCCGAUCCGGGACCCUGCAUGGUGGGCAGUUUGACUGGGGCGGUCGCCUCCCAAAUAGUAACGGAGGCGCGCGAUGGUGGGCUCAAGCCGGUCGGACAUCGGCUGUUGAGUGCAAUGGCAUAAGCCCGCCUGACUGCGAGAGUGACAGCUCGAGCAGAGACGAAAGUCGGCCAUAGUGAUCCGGUGGUCCCGCGUGGAAGGGCCAUCGCUCAACGGAUAAAAGGUA